GAUGAACGCUGGCGGCGUGCCUAAUACAUGCAAGUCGAGCGAAUGGAUUAAGAGCUUGCUCUUAUGAAGUUAGCGGCGGACGGGUGAGUAACACGUGGGUAACCUGCCCAUAAGACUGGGAUAACUCCGGGAAACCGGGGCUAAUACCGGAUAACAUUUUGAACCGCAUGGUUCGAAAUUGAAAGGCGGCUUCGGCUGUCACUUAUGGAUGGACCCGCGUCGCAUUAGCUAGUUGGUGAGGUAACGGCUCACCAAGGCAACGAUGCGUAGCCGACCUGAGAGGGUGAUCGGCCACACUGGGACUGAGACACGGCCCAGACUCCUACGGGAGGCAGCAGUAGGGAAUCUUCCGCAAUGGACGAAAGUCUGACGGAGCAACGCCGCGUGAGUGAUGAAGGCUUUCGGGCCGUAAAACUCUGUUGUUAGGGAAGAACAAGUGCUAGUUGAAUAAGCUGGCACCUUGACGGUACCUAACCAGAAAGCCACGGCUAACUACGUGCCAGCCGCCGCGGCAG
RNAcentral lists this ribosomal RNA (515 nucleotides) under uncultured bacterium. RNAcentral's name for it is "partial 16S ribosomal RNA". It matches the Rfam family "Bacterial small subunit ribosomal RNA", at positions 28 to 523 of the family's 1533-position model. The record is from RNAcentral.